GGCGUUUUUGUGCCUGAGAGUGCUGCUAAGCUGGGCCACUAAGACAUGUAAAGAGAAGACAGCCCAUCAUGAUGACCAAAGUUGUCUAAUUGUUUCACCCAUGUGUUCAUAUCUAUCUUGUCUUACACUUAAAGUGUAAGCCUCUUGGGACAGGGACUGUCUUUUUGAUCUCUCUUUGUACAGCACCUAGCACUACAGUAAUACACAUUAUAAACUGGUACCUGUUAUUGGUGUAUGAGAGCCUGGGCUACUGCUGUUUUGAAUACACAAGAGAUGAUCUCCCUUAGUUCGUGAGGAAGAGAAAUAAGACAGUGUUGAAAUUCAGCAUUCUCUUGCCAGUGCCUCUUGACAAUGGGACAGUUUAAGAAUAUAUAUGGUCAGCUAUCUAAUACUAUGGUUCUCCAGCAUUCAACGGGAGUUGCCAUGGCCAUCAUGAAAAUGUCACAUCCGAAAUGGCCACCCCCACUAAUGGAAAGUCAGAUAAACGUCAUUAGGAUUCUUCAAGUGGUCUGUAAUGUUUGUAACUGGAGUACAGAUGUCCCAGGACCCAGAAGACCAAUAAAAGUGAUGCUUUGUUCCAAUAUGCAGUGGCCAGCUGGAACCACUGAAAGUUUUCAAUUGGACUUCCAUUAGUAGCCUACGGGAAAGUCAGUCUAAACUGUUGCCAAUGUUAUGACCCUAAGGGCUUGUCUACAUUACCUGCUGGAUCGACGGGCAGUGAUUGAUCCAGUGAGGGUAGAUUUAUCGACUGCCGAGUGCUCUCCCCUUGACUCCGGUACUCCACCAGAGCGAGAGGCGCAGGAAGUAGAUCUAAGUAUGUCGACUUCAGCUACGUUAUUCAUGUAGCUGAAGUUGCUUAACUUAGCUCGAUCUCCACCCCGAGUGUAGACCAGGCCUAAGUCUGGACCGAGUGAGCCUGUGCAGAGGGGAAUGCAUUUCCGUGGUGUGUGAGGUGAUUCCUGUUUAUCCAUUACCUACUUCAAGUGCUUUGAAGAAGGGUGCUGCAAAUGUACAUUGUUAAUAUUGUGACCACCCCAAAAUCCAUGCAGCCCUGCACUCCUGUUUAUUAGACAGUGUCAACAUUAGCAUAGUCUCAAGAGUUUUCUCAUAUGUAGACUGUCAUUUCCUCAUGUCUUUAGAAUGAAUAACUCAGUGAUGUCGCCAGAUGCUUUUGCUGCUGUUCCUAAUCAGAAUAUUUUUCAUUAUAUCUGCAUAACUGAAAACAAAUGGUGAGACUAUACAUGGGAAAGUGGCCUGAGAAAACUGAAGAUCAAAGAAAGGUCUUGGCUCAAUGGACUCUAUAUCCUGAGAGUUCCUGCUGCAUUUCCUCUCUUUAGCUCCCUCACACAAAACUGCAUAUUGUGGCUUGUACUGUCUUUAUUUUUUAAAAAAAUCUGAAGCAAUUUUGCUUUUUCCAAACAGCAGGGGGGGAGGGGCGGAAAUCCCUUGUUCCAACCUAAAGUGUUGCCUUUGGUUAGUGUUCAUUAUGUCCUUCAGUGUGGUCAUUUGUCCAACAGCCUGAGAAUGCUGGCAGGCUGAGUGGAAAAAAGAGUGCAAAGUCCUUGCACCUAGCUCCCUCAGUGGAAAGGACUGACAUGAACUGCUUCAGCCCUUGCCAAUCACAGCUUCUCACUGUGCUGUCUCGAGGGCUUGUCUACCCUUUACAAUCCAAACCUAAAGGUCACUCAGUGUUGUUCACCUCAACAGCAUAUUGGUUUCAGAGAGAUCUUUGUCCAAAGGCAGGACAAAGUGCCACUUCCAUUACUCUGACAGAUCUGAAUGUCUGCUGUCUUUCCAGUACCUUGGAGAAAGGUGAUCCAUAAUUAUAUUAUCAUGAGUGAGAAUUUGGUCCCCUUGUCACGAGACCUCUUUGAGGAUAACGUGGCUUGUCACAGACCCAGUUUUGCCACAAGGUUCAUCAGCUACAAGGUUUCUUUCCCAUUACGAAGCAAGAUUAUGAAAAGGAAAGAAGUGAUCUUACCUGGGUAGAAUGGAUGUUAUUUUUCUACCAGCAGAGUUAACAGGAAGAAGGGAGGUCACACAUUGCUGGGAGAAAUUGUGGAAAGUCAUAACUUAUGUUGUUGGCUGGCUAACCUGACCUAUACUCUUAGAUGAAGCUGUCUUGGUUGUGUCUUAAAAAAGCUUUAUGUGUAAUGUGCCAAAUAGUUCUAUUUCACACUCUUUGCCCCUCUUCUCCCUCUGAAUAAUUGUUACUGAGAAUGAGAUGAUGGAUAUAACUGAAUGACAAGAGGGAAAAAACACUUAAUUUGGAGAUUUCUUCCCCAUCACUUAAUAUAAGACGAUAGUGCAAUCAUUGUCAAGAAUUACUUCAUACUGUUUACAAAAUAAAAGUCAAACCAUAACAAAGAAAACAGACGAAAGAAAAAAAGAAAAGGAAUGAGAGAGAGGAAGGGAAGAAUGCGGGAAAUGGGCUGCUACUCUACAAUAUUGCUAUAGAUUCAUCUCAGAAUCUCACAGCACUCCAUAGACAAGAAAUGGUUGAGCAAGUAUUAGCCCCAUUUAGUAGAGGGAGAUUGAUUUUAUAAUUAUCCAUAGUAUUGGGAGAAAGGAGAAAUAACCCUUUGCUAGAGGCUACUUAUGUGACCCCAGGCAGGUCACUUCACUUCUUUGUGCUUCAGUUUCACAGGUUUAAGACAGGACUCAUGAACUGUUGGGGAACUUAAUUCAAUUAAUAUUUGUUCAAAAUGCCUUGAAAUCCUUAUAUGGAAAGUGCUUUAGAAGUACAAAGUUCAUUGAAACCUGAAGAGAACACCCCAGUAGGUAAACACCCACUGUCUAAAGAGACUGCUCCAAGUAAUUUAACGUUCAUUAUAAUCAUUUAUUUUUAUGUCAAAGGGGUAGUUGAAGGAAUGUACACGACUGAGAAGCCAAUUAGGUAUACAAAAUCUACAUCGAGUUAUACAAGUAAAUGCUGCAAGCAGGAAGUAGCACAGGGCUAUUAAUAGUCUAUUAUUCCAAUAGUAGGAGGAAAGCAAGCCAAUACUCAGUGUAAUAAAUCAAUUUGUAAGCAGUUCGCAGGGAGUAAUUCACAAGGGCCAGUUAACAGACAGAACUUGGUAUUGCAUCAUUAUAACUAAGCACUUAAGAUGUUAGGGGAGAAUAUGUCAUAUUUCCCUGGAUGGCCAGAAUUGUUUUAUGUUGUUUUAAUUCAGGGCUGAGAUGUAUCUUGCUUUUAUGUGGACUACAAAAACUACAUAGGGGGUUUUUCUACCUAGAAUUUAUCUACACAUACAUAUUUUUUUUAAUUAAACAAUGCAAGUUUGCACACAGACACUGUUAUUUCAAUUUGGGCAGUUUACUGCAUUUACUUUAAUCUACGUAAACCAAAACAAAUAACUUUAACAGAAAUAAGAGUGUGUACACACAAACUUGCAUUGAUUUAGCUACGUCAGUUGAAAAACACACCUUUAGUUCAACAUGUAAUAGACAAGCCCCUAGAUAUCAAGGGUGAAAUCCUGACCCCAUUGAAGUCAAUGUGAGGGUUGCCAUUGACUUUAAUGGCACCAGGAUUUCAUCCCAGGCCUAGAUAGUACAAUGAUGAGAGGUCUAGAUAUGUUCUAAGAAGAAUAAACACACAAGUCGUGAGAUCAGAAUGUUUGUUUGGGGGAUAGCUUGUUAUUUAAACUGUUUUCAGUAUAAGUUAAAAUAUUUAUAUUGGUUUUGUUUUUUGUUUCUUUUUUAAACUAAAUCUAAAUUUUGCGCUGUUUGCCCUUUUUACUGGUCACCUGGCUUACUUGUAUCAUGUACUGAACAUUCUGUGUUCAAAAAUUUCUGCUAUUCCUAAUUAGAGAUAUUAUAGAUAUGGAUGACAUUUUUCAAAAGAAACCCAGAUUUUUAAAAGUAUCACACUUAAAGAUGCAAAUAGGCAUCUAGUGGGAUUUCAAAAGCACCUAGGUGCUUCACUCCCAUGGGAUAAAUCUUAAAUACCCUUAAAUAUCUGGCCCAUAAGAGUAUAAGUCUCAAUGAGAUUUGGCUCCUAAUUCACUUUGGCCCUCUUAAAAUUUGUUACACAUAUUCCUAUGAGAUUAAGAGGUACCCAGAGACAGAACAAUUAUUGCAGUAACCGAACCCAUAGUCUUCUUUCAGUGAUGACAGCAUCCUAUAUGUCUCACCAUCGAUUGCAGAUAACAGUCCUUCCCAGAAACAACUAUUUGCAGUACUGUUUCUAGUGGUGGAGCCCCAUCUCAAUUAAGCAGAAUUCAGGAGUGUGCUCAUGGAUAAUGCCAUAACACAUUGCUGUUGCACAAUAUAAUCAGGUACUACAAGUGAUGAACAGGUGGGUUGUUAAUAACAGACUCAUCAGACUGGAAGCUGUGCCAUGCCCUGUUGUAGGCAAACUGUAGUCCUACAGGCAGAUUGCAGUCCUCACAGACACAGAUUGAUGGAAACUGUGUCUGCAGGGAUAGUUCAAUAUUUUAAAGCACUACUAUGAAGUCCUUAAGGUCCUGAAAUGUCUCUUACCUUAAAUACCAUGGGCAAUAUUCUGCUCUCCUUUAUGUAAGUGUGCACCUAGAAUAACCCCAUUAAGUUAAGUGGAUUUACAAAGAAAUAAAUUGAGAGUAAUUUACAGCAGAAUUCGAUAAUAAAUGAUCUAAGGGAACAGUUCAUAAAAAGCUCAUUGUCUAAAAAUGAUUUGUUCAAAAU
This is a long non-coding RNA of Dermochelys coriacea (leatherback sea turtle), 4665 nucleotides long. RefSeq lists it as uncharacterized. NCBI's taxonomy places the organism in Eukaryota, Metazoa, Chordata, Testudines, Dermochelyidae. The transcript has 3 exons. The record is from RefSeq and is a predicted model, not a curated record.